ACAAAGAAAACGAAAUAGAGAAGAACAGGGGAGAAAGAAAGGGAAGAAAGGGAGAAAAGGGAAAAUCAAGGUUUUGAAGCUUGAACUUUAAUAGGUAAGUUAAUUUAGCUUUUUUUACAUCGUUUUGAUGUUUUAAAAGUUUUAGAACAAAGUUUUGAUGAAAUUACGUUGAUAUUUUGAAAGUUAUUAGAUUUCUAGGUAAUGUUCAUGUUGAGUAAAAUGAUGAAAUAAGGGUUAAAUUGAUAGAAAUUCAAGUUAGAAAUGAAAUAAGGAUUGAAUUGUAAACUAAUUCAUAAAUUUUAUGUUGUAGGGACUAAAUUGAUGAAAUUUCGAAAUUAGGAAAUAUGUUGGAAAAUCAAUAGUUGAGUAUGAGUUUGAACAAAAUUUGAAUAGAAAUGAAGUAUGAAUUAAGAUAGAAAAAGUAAGUGAAUUUAGUUAAGAUUAAAUUGAGAUUAAAGUAGAAAUUGAAUAGAAAUUGUAUUAAUUAGAUAUAAAUUAGUAGUGAAUUAAUGAAUAUGAAUUGUUUUAAUUCCCGUAGCUAAUGUUGUCUUGGGAAAUCUCGGCUAAGCAAGGAAAAAUGACAAAGACAAUGGGAGUUAGCUCGAGAAAAUAUGGUUUGUAUUUCUAUAAACCGAAUUUAAUAAUUAUUUGUUGAAUUUAUUAUUUAUAUGAAUGGUAAGUAUUAUUAUUAUUAUUAUUAUUAUGGUAUUAAACUGAAUAAAAAUUCAUAAAUUAUUAGUGAUUAUUGAUAUUGAAUAGAAUAUGUGAAUAUUGAAUGAAGAAUUGAAAAAUGUAUAUUGUAUUGAAAUUGAAUUACAUGUGAAUUGAUAUGGAAAGGUAUUGAAAUGAAGAGUAAGUAAAUUAAGAAUGGAAAGUGGAAAUUGAAAAUUGACUGGAUACCCUAUUAACAAUGUCGGGUUAGUCGGAUAUAGUUAGCAUGCCAUAGGAUCAGAGGAGUUAGGGAUAUUCCGACUGUGUGUCGAUGAGACAUUAUAUGUGUCGACUAUUGUGACUGUUCCGGAUUCGUUCUGAAGAGGUACUCUAUACCUGACUGUUACUGUUUCGAAUUUGUUCGGAUGAGGUACUUUGUGUACCGUUACUGUUACUGUUACCGAUACGAUGUAUUCCGGCUUCGACCGAUGAAACACCGUGAAAUAUCCCUGGUGUGUGGGUUGGAUUUAAGUCCGUGUAUUCGUCGGGUCCGAGUCAUGUUAAUAGGGAUAAUCAAGGAUAUCAAAGAAUGAAUGUUAUUAAUUUAUUAUUCAUUAACUUAAAGACUGCUUGAUUAUAUAACAAAUGAAGAUCACUGUAUAGUAAUGAAAGUAUAUUGAAGAUCGAUUAAUAAGGUUUUAAAGCUAAAUAAUGAAGAGUAAAUGGUUGAAGUAUUAAGAUUCUAAAGUAAUGCUUAAAGUUUAAGAAUACAUGAAUGUUGACUGCUAAUGAAAGGUAUAAAUGGACAAUAAAGGUAGACCGAAUCAAAUGGUAAGGUUUAUAUGUUAUGAAAUUAAGUUAUAUGACUAAAGUAUAGAGACUAUGAAGUUAAAGCUUAAAGCUCGAAUGUAUAUAUGAAUGACGGGUAUUAUUAUUUAGUGAUUUACAAGUUUAUUAUGAUUAAUAUAUGACUUAAUUAAAUGUUAAAUUUCUUACACUAUUCAGUACUUCUGUUUAUAGAAAUACCACUGAGUUUAUACUCAGCAUACGGUUUGUUUCCGUGCGCAGGUUAGGUUAAAGAAAGAUCGUCGAAUCAGCAUCCUAAGCCGAUCCCGGACUCAACAAGGUAAAAUAUGUUAAUUGUUGAUAAUGGCAUGUACCUAGGCUAUUAAGUUAAUAGAGUAAAAAUGUUCAAGAAUGGUUUAAAGAUAUUAGGUCUUAAAAUGAAAUAUACAUGCUUGAAAGUUAAUAUAAGUAAGUUGUUUAAGAUUGUAAACAAAAUUUUAAGUCAAUCUAGACUGUGGUACCAUUGAGAGAACAUUGGUUGAAUGUUUUAUUGUCAAGUUGGGUUAGCAUUAAAUAUGUUUAAUUGAGUUUUAAUCAUGUUGAGAGUCGGUAAAAAAAAUGUUAUCUUAAAGCUUACGUUUUUACAAGGUUAGUAACUUGCAAAACGAAGCUCAUCAUAAGUCCACACGGCCAGGUCACACGGGCGUGUCAUCAGAUCAUGUAAGACACAUGGCUCACGCACGGGCGUGCGCUUUGGCCGUGCAAAAUUAACCGAUUCUAAAGAAAAACAACACGGUGUUUCCACACGGACGUGUAAGAAGGGUACACGGGCGUGUCUCCUAGGUCACACGGGCGUGUGACACUAUUCACAAAAGGAAAUUUUUAAGUUUUCACGAAAAUUUUUAUAAGCUUCCGGUCGAACCCCGGUUGGAUUCAAAUGUUUAUAGUAAUCAAUAUAGGCCCAUUUAAGAUACAAAAUGACAUAAUUUUAAUUUAUUAUCAUAAUUAUCCCCGUCUAAUGUAUAAAAGUAUUGUAAAGACUGGUAAUGCUCCGUAAUCCUGUUCCGGCGACGGGACAAGGUUAAGGGGGUAUUACACUAAACCUAUUCGAAAUUGUUCAAAUAAAGGCUUCUCAAGUUUUAAAUUAUGUAUCCAUUAUUUUCGUUGACUAGUUAAGAAGUUCAAAUAAAGCGCAUGAAUGUUACUAGUUAAGAAGUUUACUUUUCGUUGACUCCCAAAAAUUCAAUAAAAAAGUUCAAGAACAAAAGGUCUUAGAUGUACAUUAUAUUGGCAUUUUGGGCUCAAUGCACGAAUCCACCCUCUCAACUUGGUUCUUAUUAGUUCAUUGGAGUACAAUGGCUUAUAAAAAAUGGGUCUCAUGGUCUUUCUUUCAGGAACUUGGAUUUGAUUCUUUUGAAAUAUCUUAAGUGUUGUUUCAUAAGUUGAGAAAUUAAGUAUUGAAAAUUUAACUAUUGAAAUUUAAGUUAUAAAAUUGUUUGACAUAUUACUUAAAUUAAUUAUGGAAUACAAUUAGAUUGUUUGAUAAAUAUAAAAUUUAAAUUAUAAAAAAUAAAUUUCACAUUUAUCCUUAAUUUUUAAACAUUUCAC
Molecule: long non-coding RNA, 3045 nt
Filed under: Gossypium barbadense (sea-island cotton)
Lineage: Eukaryota; Viridiplantae; Streptophyta; Magnoliopsida; Malvales; Malvaceae
Description: long non-coding RNA (GBAR_LNC011999)
Source: RNAcentral